GGUCGGUUUGGCCGGAUUACACACAGGUGUUGCAUGGCUGUCGUCAGCUCGUGUCGUGAGAUGUUGGGUUAAGUCCCGCAACGAGCGCAACCCUCAUCCUUAGUUACCAUCGGGUUAUGCUGGGGACUUUAAGGAAACUGCCUGUGAUAAACUGGAGGAAGGUGGGGAUGAUGUCAAGUCAUCAUGGCCCUUAUGGAGUGGGCUACACACGUGCUACAAUGGUGAUUACAAUGGGCUGCAAGGUCGCAAGGCUGAGCUAAUCCUAAAAAAUCAUCUCAGUUCGGAUUGUUCUCUGCAACCCGAGAGCAUGAAGUUGGAAUUGCUAAUAAUCGUGAAUCAGCAUGCCACGGUGAAUACGUUCUCGGGUCUUGUACACACUGCCCGUCACGCCAUGGUAAUUGGUUUCACUCGAAGCU
Molecule: ribosomal RNA, 416 nt
Filed under: Wolbachia endosymbiont of Myzus persicae
Lineage: Bacteria; Pseudomonadati; Pseudomonadota; Alphaproteobacteria; Rickettsiales; Anaplasmataceae
Description: bacterial SSU rRNA
Rfam family: Bacterial small subunit ribosomal RNA
Source: RNAcentral